Molecule: ribosomal RNA, 206 nt
Filed under: uncultured bacterium
Lineage: Bacteria
Description: partial 16S ribosomal RNA
Rfam family: Bacterial small subunit ribosomal RNA
Source: RNAcentral
UGCGUAGGUGGUUGGUUAAGUUUGAGGUGAAAGCUCCGAGCUCAACUCGGAAAAUGCCUUGAAGACUAUCUGACUAGAGGAUUGGAGGGGAGAUUGGAAUUCUCGGUGUAGCAGUGAAAUGCGUAGAUAUCGAGAGGAACACCAGUGGCGAGGCGAAUCUCUGGACAAUUCCUGACACUGAGGCACGAAAGCCAAGGGAGCAAACG